UUACGCUGUUAUCCCUAAGGUAAUUUAGUCUUAUAAUCAACAAAAAUGGAUCAAAUAUAUAUAAAUAAAUAUAAAAAAAAUAAAAAGAGUUAAUUAAAUCUUUCCAUCACCCCAACAAAAUAAAUUUUCAAAUUAAAAAAAUAUCAUACAAAAAAAUAAAAACAUAUAUAAACUCUAUAGGGUCUUCUCGUCCCAAAAAAAUAUUUAGGCAUUUUAACCUAAAAUUUAAAUUCAAUAAAUAAAUUAAAGACAGUUUACACCUCGUCAAACCAUUCAUUCCAGCCUACAAUUAAAAGACUAAUGAUUAUGCUACCUUUGCACGGUCAAAAUACCGCGGCCCUUCAAUACUCAGUGGGCAGGCCAUACAUCAAAAUAUAUUCAAGAAGAGAUGUUUUUGAUAAACAGGCG
This 408-nucleotide ribosomal RNA is filed under the name Cryptocercus sp. CHEO2. RNAcentral describes it as "partial mitochondrial 16S rRNA gene". The record is from RNAcentral. Lineage: Eukaryota; Metazoa; Arthropoda; Insecta; Blattodea; Cryptocercidae.